CCCUUAGAUGUUCUGGGCCGCACGCGCGCUACACUGAUUCAAUCAACAAGUUUAUAACCUUGGUCGAAAGGCUUGGGUAAUCUUUUAAAACUGAAUCGUGAUGGGGAUAGAUUAUUGCAAUUAUUAAUCUUAAACGAGGAAUUCCUAGUAAACGCGAGUCAUCAGCUCGCAUUGAUUACGUCCCUGCCCUUUGUACACACCGCCCGUCGCACCUACCGAUUGAAUGGUCCGGUGAAAUUUUCGGACUUUGGCAAUUCCCCCUUCAUUGGGAGAGCUGCCGAGGGAAGUUAAUUAAACCUUACCAUUUAGAGGAAGGUGAAGUCGUAACA
This 329-nucleotide ribosomal RNA is filed under the name uncultured eukaryote. Its description in RNAcentral is "partial 18S ribosomal RNA". It matches the Rfam family "Eukaryotic small subunit ribosomal RNA", at positions 1470 to 1796 of the family's 1831-position model. The record is from RNAcentral.